AAGAAUUUCUUUUUCUUCACAAUUAUGAAAGAAAAGAAAUUGUGAAGAAAGAAAUUCUUAC
RNAcentral lists this microRNA precursor (61 nucleotides) under Homo sapiens (human). RNAcentral's name for it is "Hsa-Mir-3611_pre stem-loop". Lineage: Eukaryota; Metazoa; Chordata; Mammalia; Primates; Hominidae. The record is from RNAcentral.